UGUUUGUUCCCGACUUGUGUUUCAGACCCUGUAUUCAGGCUUUUGAGGAAGAUGGCACACUGGGACUGAAGAAAGAAAAACAGCUUUCUGUCAAUGACGCAGCACGCAGAUAUGCAGUAUAGAAUGUCAGUUACACAACCUGGCAAUGGUUUCCACGGCUGCGGAGCAGCUAAAGCUCUGCUUUAACCCAGAGAUGGAAAAUCCAGGUUCAGAAAAUUUGGUUUAGCCAUGUCCCUCCAUGGUCCGGAGCCAAACUCUGACCGCGCCCAAUGCUGACUGGCCAGCGGCCCUGCAGAGUAGCAUUGGACCGAUUGGGCUGCUGUAGUUCGUCUGCACCAGCUGCACAUGAAGCUAACUCCUUCAACGCAGCAAUUACGCCACGGCUCAGCCAGUGCAGUGUGGAGUGACAGGAAGAGAAGGAUCACAAUGCUUCAGAAAAGAGCUGCUUGUCUGUUCUGUCCAGAUGGAGGAUGCUACCACAAAUAAAUGCUUCCAGUGUGAAUUUGAGUAAUUGGAACACAUGCAGCCAGGGAAAGGUGAAGCAAGACACAUGGGACUACUGAACUUUUCACCGAGGAGCAGAACAUCCUGAGCAUGCUGCUAGGACAGACUGCACUCCGAUCAACUCAAUUCUAGUUGUUCUUU
This is a long non-coding RNA of Anguilla anguilla (European eel), 645 nucleotides long. RefSeq lists it as uncharacterized. The record is from RefSeq and is a predicted model, not a curated record. The transcript is spliced from 4 exons. NCBI's taxonomy places the organism in Eukaryota, Metazoa, Chordata, Actinopteri, Anguilliformes, Anguillidae.